RNAcentral lists this ribosomal RNA (406 nucleotides) under uncultured bacterium. Its description in RNAcentral is "partial 16S ribosomal RNA". It matches the Rfam family "Bacterial small subunit ribosomal RNA", at positions 30 to 526 of the family's 1533-position model. The record is from RNAcentral.
AUUGAACGCUGGCGGCAGGCCUAACACAUGCAAGUCGAACGAGUGGCGGACGGGUGAGUAAUGUCUGGGAAACUGCCUGAUGGAGGGGGAUAACUACUGGAAACGGUAGCUAAUACCGCAUACCAUCAGAUGUGCCCAGAUGGGAUUAGCUUGUUGGUGGGGUAACGGCUCACCAAGGGGACGAUCCCUAUCUGGUCUGAGAGGAUGACCGGCACCACUGGAACGGAGAAACGGUGCAGACUCCUACGGGAGGCAGCAGUUGGGAAUAUUGCACAAUGGGCGGAAGCCUGAUGCAGCCAUGCCGCGUGUAUGAAGAAGGCCUUCGGGUGGUAAAGUACUUUCAGCGGGGAGGCGUUACCCGCAGAAGAAGCACCGGCUAACUCCGUGCCAGCAGCCGCGGUAAUUC